RNAcentral lists this small nucleolar RNA (108 nucleotides) under Gossypium hirsutum (cotton). Its description in RNAcentral is "Plant small nucleolar RNA R71". It matches the Rfam family "Plant small nucleolar RNA R71". From Rfam's summary of the family: R71 is a member of the C/D box family of snoRNAs containing the C (UGAUGA) and D (CUGA) box motifs. Multiple nearly identical copies of this snoRNA have been identified in Arabidopsis, and it is thought to function as a 2'-O-ribose methylation guide for 18S ribosomal RNA. The record is from Rfam by way of RNAcentral. Lineage: Eukaryota; Viridiplantae; Streptophyta; Magnoliopsida; Malvales; Malvaceae.
AACCCAUGGUGAGGGCACCUUUUAAAUAGAUCCUUGUAUCUCUCCCAUGCAUCAUAAAGUGUUUCUAAAUCCAUCUAGACAAAAAGAAGAAGUAUCAUUCCUUAGUUU